Molecule: ribosomal RNA, 393 nt
Filed under: uncultured bacterium
Lineage: Bacteria
Description: partial 16S ribosomal RNA
Rfam family: Bacterial small subunit ribosomal RNA
Source: RNAcentral
AUACGGGGGAUGCGAGCGUUAUCCGGAUUUAUUGGGUUUAAAGGGAGCGUAGGUGGGAUAUUAAGUCAGCUGUGAAAGUUUGGGGCUCAACCUUAAAAUUGCAGUUGAUACUGGUUUCCUUGAGUACGGUACAGGUGGGCGGAAUUCGUGGUGUAGCGGUGAAAUGCUUAGAUAUCACGAAGAACUCCGAUCGCGAAGGCAGCUCACCGGGCCGGAACUGACACUGAUGCUAGAAAGUGCGGGUAUCAAACAGGAUUAGAUACCCUGGUAGUCCGCACAGUAAACGAUGAAUACUCGCUGUUUGCGAUACACUGUAAGCGGCCAAGCGAAAGCGUUAAGUAUUCCACCUGGGGAGUACGCCGGCAACGGUGAAACUCAAAGGAAUUGACGGGG